Gadus chalcogrammus (walleye pollock) is the source of this 4712-nucleotide long non-coding RNA. RefSeq lists it as uncharacterized. The transcript has 8 exons. Lineage: Eukaryota; Metazoa; Chordata; Actinopteri; Gadiformes; Gadidae. The record is from RefSeq and is a predicted model, not a curated record.
UACAUUUGUUUGUGUACUGUUUUGAUGAAGUCUGUUGUGACUUAUUUAACCUCUCUCAGUUUCACAGGUUAAAGACUUUUUGAAGUAAAGAGGAGCAUCUCAUCUGAACCUGAUGUCUAUCAUGGAUAUUUAACUGCAGUUCUGUGAGUAUCCCAACUUAACCAUGAAGCAUAACUGCAAACUGUAAGUCAUUAAUUUCUCAUUACUCUUGGGCACAUUGAUGUAUUUUGGCUUCCUGGUGAGUUAACCUGUUACCUGACGGUUGAUCUGAGUAUUAUGGAUGUUUUAUUGGUUCAUGGGUUACUUGGGUGUUUGGUUUAUGUUGGUUUUAAUGAUUUGUUAAAAUGGUUACAGGCUCCAAGUUAUUGUUGUAAGCUGGAGUAAUGGGUUGGGUUCUGAUAUCUUCAGUCUUCUUUCAUUCUACUCUCCUGAGCUCUGCAUCUUCAUCACAUGAGUGUUGCUUCUCUGAUGGGGGUGUGGUCUGAGUGAGCAGAGGUGCAUACUGGGAAACAGAGCUGUCUGAAGUCUACAGGUCUGUAGACACGCCCCCUCAGGGGAAACCGAGUGUUUGAAAAACUGUCGUGACGUCAGUUACAUGGACUGGAAUGUUCUUAAAGAUGGAGACGGAUUCAGAAGGAGAAACGCCAGGGGGAGAUGAGGGGGCUCCUAAUUUCAACGACUAAACACAACUUCAGUCUGACACAGAACCAUGGAACACAUUCAACAGUCCCCUCCAGGCAUCGUGACUCCUCAGGAACAGAUUCAUAUCCAAGAAGUUCUUAUUUGGGGCCAUCCCCAUAUGGAUCCUGCUCCUCAAGAGCCACCCCCCUCCACUGGUUGGUCUUCUGAACAGAUGACCUCCUUCCUGUCCGCAGGCUGACUAAAGCUGCACCGUUUGCAUCUGGGAAGGCCCCUCAUUCAGGAAACUACUGGACUACAAAGACAUGACUUCAGAAAUGUUGAAUCAACCUGGGACACAUUUUGGAGACGCCAAGCAUAAUCCAUCAUCAAUGUGGGACGCCACUGAAGAAUGUUGUACAUCAUUUACGUCUCUGGCGACAUUGGUUGUUCUGUUAUGGGUUAUGGUUCCCCCCCCCCAGAGCUGGGGGGGGGGGGGGGGUGAUGGAAUUUUAUUUGGCAUGAGGUUUUUACCCUGCAUGAUUGUUUGGCCUUUUAUGGCUCUGUGGUGUGUUGUGUUUGGGUUUGACGUGUGUGUGUGUGUGUGUGUGUGUGUGUGUGUGUGUGUGUGUGUGUGUGUGUGUGUGUGUGUGUGUGUGUGUGUGUGUGUGUGUGUGUGUGUGUGUGUGUGUGUGUGUGUGUGUGUGGCUUGCUUUGACAGUGAUAAUGUUCAUAUGGGGGUCUGUGUGAUUGGGUUGGGAUAUUGGAAUGGUCAACUAAAUCAUACCUGAUGGACGGCCACAUGUUUACUUAAGGGCCUCCAGUAGACAUGAAGAGCCCUGAGCGACGCUCCGGAGCGAUAUCCAACACACUGGGCAGGAAGGAGAGUAUCCAACUCACAUGUAAAAGGAUGCAAGUGACGUGUUCAGAUCAGUGACUUCAAACUAGGACUACAACAAUCAGGAUCAAUGGAGGAUGGACACCAAAAGGAAUUCCACAAGGAGAGUCUGACGUUGGAAAGGGACCUAAAUGGAUAUUCAAGAUGACCUUCAGACCUGUAAUGAGACGGCUCUUCCUACCUGGCUGGAUUGAUGGAGAGCCCUGUGGAUCUUGUCUUGCUCUCAGUUGCACGUCUUCUCAGGCUGAACUGUAUUUGUUUCGGACAGGACUAGCUGAACGAUUGGUUCCCUUGAAUCAGAACCAAUCCGGGAACUCCAGCUAGUGCGCUCUUCGAGCUGAAGUUGUGCUCUUCAGCUGAGGAGGUAAGGAAACCUUCACUGGGGCUUCAAGGUGUAAAGAGGAGAAUGUUUCAUGUGUUCCAUGGUACUCUGAUGAAGACCGUUGUUGUGUUCCACUGGCUGAGAGGAAGAACCCACACAUUCCUCUUGGCCUUUCUCCUCUGAGAAUCCUGGCGCCAUCUUGAAGGAUAUUCCAGCUCAUGUAACUGAUGUCACGACAGAUUCUCAAACACUUGGUUUCUCCUGAGGGGCGUGUCUAUGGAACUGAAGACUUCAGACAGCACUGUAUCCCAGCAUACAUCUCUGCUCACUCAGACCACACCCCCAUGAGUAGGAUGCAACACUCUAGUGAUGGAGAUGUAGAGUUUUAUAAGUAACGAGGGAGCAGACUAAGGUGAUUAGACUGUAAAUCUUUAAACCAUGAAGAUGGUUCGAUAGUUCAGGAAUUGGGCUUCUUUUUACUAUGGGCAGUCCUUUCACUCAGAUGCCCACUUCUCACUGGAGCUGUACAUGUGUUGGCUGGCUGGCAUGGUUUGCUGUUGGUGAUGAGGCGGUCAGGGUGACGUUGCAGGGCUAUGGUCGGCUCUCUGUGAGCUCAACGUUUAGAUUUGCUCUGUAUGGUUUGUACCCUGAAUAAUCUAGAUAAUUGUAAAAUGUAGACAGUUUUGUAUUGAAUGAUUUUAGGUUUAAAGUUGUUGUGGGACGUACAUGGUAGUUUGGUUCUUCGUAUGGUUUUGAGUGAUAUAACUUGUACACACUGGGUGCAUAAUAAUGUAAAGGUACAUUUAAUAGUAUUAAUGACCAACAGCAACAAACAGAUCUCCUCAAGGUAAGUCUGUUGGCUGUGUUUUAAUGAAGACCAUCGCUGGACUUCAGGAUCUUCCUCCGUUCAGCUCAAGGUGAGGCGCUGGUUCUGUUUUUCUUUGGUUGGUUCCGGCCGGAAUGUUCGGAUUCCAGUCAGACGGUUUGUGCUUCCCGCCGUGGAAGGUUCUGAGUGCGGUCACUUCAUUUAGUCUGAAUGGUUAGCAUAGAACGUUGUAGUCUGGACAACCAUAAGAAACCACCUGGCAGUUAGUUGGACGGGACUCCCCUGAGGGAAUAUGGAGGAACGUUCUGGAUUGUAUUUGAGUAACCUCGAGCCGUUGCCAACGGAAACAAUUUUUCAGUCGGUUUCCAUUGGGAACUUAAGUUUGAUAUUAAAUACUUACUGACAAGUACGUCGUACAAUAUGUUGAUAAUUUCCGAUCGUUGCGCCGUACUUUUACCCACGAUGACGUGACGGGACUCUCACUGCGUACAAUACAGCGUUCUACUUGCGGGCCCAUUUGACAUCACGGAAGGCUGAAAAUCAUUUCAAGGUGGAAGAUAAUUUGACGUUUCUUCAACGGAACCCAGCACCUGAAUAUGGCUGAGUAUAUUUGAUUUAAUAUCGAUACUGCUUAGUGUUCUUUGUUACUUCAGCUUUUGUACGUUCUAAAUAUCUGCCGUCAUUAAUUCCCACAGAAGUUAAACCCUAGCCAAUGGAAUGACGUUGAACAACGACUUUGGUGCAGAGUUACCAACUGGAUAAUAUCAAAGCUAAAAUAAUGGCCGUCAUUCCCACAUGUUACAGUAGAAGAUACUCUGUACAAGGUUAAAAAGGUAACAUGUAGUUUGUCCCAAGGUGUUUGCCUCCUCACCCAGAGCAAGACCUCCACCUCCUCACCCAGAGCCAGACCUCCACCUCCUCACCCAGAGCCAGACCUCCACCUCCUCACCCAGAGCCAGACCUCCACCUCCUAUCAGAAGUCUUCCAGAACAGCUUAAAGGCGAGUCUGAGAGGCUGGGGACCAGAGGCUUGUGGUGCCAGGGUGGACCGGAGACUAAGGCUGGAGACCAGGGGCCUGCAGCAUUGGACCAGAGGAUCAGGAAUCCAUGGCUGGAGGAGCUGUGCUGAAGGCCCUGCCUUGUGGAGGAGCUGGUGGAGGCCCUGCCUGGUGAAGGACGUCUGUCGUGGGACCAGGACUCUGUCUGAGGAGAGCUGCUGGAGGAGCUGAGACGCUGGAGGACGACUUUGAAUCGACCAACAAGGAUUCCUCAACGUGUUUCUGGCUGAGGAGAGCUGAUUGAGGAGCCAAGACUCUGGAGGACGACAUCACUCCACCAACCAGGAUCCUCAGACAAAUUACGUUUGCAACCAGACCAGGAAUCUGGAGAACUGAUGGAGAAGCCAUACAUCUGGAAGGCAAAUCCUGAGGACCACCAGGACUCUACCAUCAAGGAUUCCUCAUAAAUGUGCAUUAUCUGGACAUAGUGGACUAGACACACCUGAACUGAACUGAACCUGAUCCUGUUUGGUCGGGGGUAGACACACCUGAGCUAAACCCGCCCUGAUCCUGACAUCCUGCUGGUCCCGUCUCCUCAGUUCAUCUGAGCCUCGUCCUCCAGAAGACCUGCUGAGCUCAGCAGUCUGAGGCUGAUGGAUCAAUGACCUCCAGUGGGAGUGAUCUUCUUGACCCCACAUGUAACCGUGUGCUUCCACACGCCUUUCCCUCACGUCUGUCACUAACCUCACUACUCACUACUCUCUACUGCUUCCUCUUUUCUUCCUUCUCUGUGGUUCAAACCUUUACACUGAAGGCGCGUCUUCCUGCCCUCAGAGGGUUUAGCGUUAGGGUUGAGAGUCAGGGUUUAGAGGCAGGGACAGAGCUGGUCAGGGAGGACUGCUUUUACACCAACCUCUUCACUUGCUUUCGGAAUGGUGGUGACAUUUUGAAAAGAUUCAUUUGGGAAAAUGUUUUCCUCUGCUUUCCUUUACAAAAUUGUAUUAAACUUCUGUCAAGUGUUUUUGUUCAUAUAUUAAAAUCCCACAUUGAC